AGAUCCCUUUGCUUGGUAGUGCCA
Molecule: non-coding RNA, 24 nt
Filed under: Gossypium hirsutum (cotton)
Lineage: Eukaryota; Viridiplantae; Streptophyta; Magnoliopsida; Malvales; Malvaceae
Source: RNAcentral